GACGUAGGGGGCGAGCGUUGUCCGGAUUCAUUGGGCGUAAAGCGCGCGCAGGCGGCCCGGUAAGUCGGAUGUGAAAUCCCACGGCUCAACCGUGGAACUGCAUUCGAUACUGUCGGGCUAGAGGCAGGUAGGGGAGAUCGGAAUUCCUGGUGUAGCAGUGAAAUGCGCAGAUAUCAGGAGGAACACCGGUGGCGAAGGCGGAUCUCUGGGCCUGUCCUGACGCUCAGGCGCGAAAGCUAGGGGAGCAAACAGG
RNAcentral lists this ribosomal RNA (253 nucleotides) under uncultured bacterium. RNAcentral's name for it is "partial 16S ribosomal RNA". It matches the Rfam family "Bacterial small subunit ribosomal RNA", at positions 524 to 776 of the family's 1533-position model. The record is from RNAcentral.